RNAcentral lists this ribosomal RNA (633 nucleotides) under Fereydounia khargensis. RNAcentral's name for it is "eukaryotic LSU rRNA". It matches the Rfam family "Eukaryotic large subunit ribosomal RNA", at positions 47 to 657 of the family's 3401-position model. The record is from RNAcentral. Lineage: Eukaryota; Fungi; Basidiomycota; Ustilaginomycetes; Urocystidales; Fereydouniaceae.
AUAGCGGAGGAAAAGAAACUAACAAGGAUUCCCCUAGUAACGGCGAGUGAAGAGGGAAGAGCCCAAGUUUGAAAGCUGGCGUCUUCGGCGUCCGCAUUGUAAACUCGAGAAGCGUUUUCCGCGCCGGACCAAGCUCAAGUCCCUUGGAAUAGGGCAUCAUAGAGGGUGAGAGUCCCGUACUUGGCUUGGAGUCCCCGGGGCUUUGUGAUACGCUCUCCAAGAGUCGAGUUGUUUGGGAAUGCAGCUCAAAAUGGGUGGUAAAUGCCAUCUAAGGCUAAAUAUCGAGGAGAGACCGAUAGCGAACAAGUACCGUGAGGGAAAGAUGAAAAGAACUUUGGAAAGAGAGUUAAACAGUACGUGAAAUUGCCGGAAGGGAAGGGUAGGGAGUCAGAUAUGCUGUGCGGAUUCAGCCUUGUCUUUGGACUUGGUGUAUUUUCGUAUUGGCAGGCCAGCAUCGGUUUGUGCCGCUGGAUAUAGGCUUGGGGAAUGUGGCUUUGUCUUCGGUCAAAGUGUUAUAGCCCCUUGCUGAGUACAGCGGCAUGGACCGAGGCACGCAGCGCACCCUCUGGGCGGGCCCUCGGGCACCUUUGCGCUUAGGAUGCUGGCUUAAUGGCUCUCUGCCACCCGUCUUGA